This 74-nucleotide transfer RNA is filed under the name Loxodonta africana (African savanna elephant). It matches the Rfam family "tRNA". Rfam says of the family: Transfer RNA (tRNA) molecules are approximately 80 nucleotides in length. The record is from Rfam by way of RNAcentral. Lineage: Eukaryota; Metazoa; Chordata; Mammalia; Proboscidea; Elephantidae.
GUCUGUGUAGCGCAAGCGGCUAGCGCGUUCGGCUGUUAGCUAAAACGUUGGUGGUUCGAGUCCACCCAGAGACG